AAAAGAGAGAGAGAGAGAGAGAGAGAGAGAGAGAGAGAGAGAGAGAGAGAGAGAGAGAGAGAGAGAGAGAGAGAGAGAGAGAGAUAAAUGUCCCCAAAACUUACCUUAACCUUCUCAGAAAACAUUAAAAGACUUACAAACAUGCGUAAAUAAUUAAGCUUCCGUGGCAGGACCGAUUCAAACACCGACCCAUUAAAAAUCUAACUUACGCUAGUCAGAUCGUAAAAAAUUGAUAGAUUGACGUAGCUGUGUAUAGAAGAAGUACUGACUCCACAACCAGAUGCAAUAAUGAAAGUGCUGACGUACGUAAAGAUGCAAUAAAUAGACGUAGAAAAGAUGGACGACGUAAUAAUUAGGAGGGAAAGGAAUACUGAUAAAAUACGUUAAAUAUCAAGUUUAUUUCAAGAAUCUCGUACACAUUGCAAUAAUAACAAUAAUUAUUAAUGUUUAGUUUAUGUGAGAGAGAGAGAGAGAGAGAGAGAGAGAGAGAGAGAGAGAGAGAGAGAGAGAGAGAGAGAGAGCGCUCCUUACCACCACCACCACCACUAUCUCAUAUCAGGGACAAAGAGAACAUAUCGUAAUAAACCAAAUAAAACUUGACGCAACCAAAGUUAAACCCCAGUGAAUGAAUGUCCGUUUUGUAAAGUUAAGUCGGAAAUUAUUCUUUUUAUAAGCCUGAAAAUAAAAAUGUCUUUAGUUUAAGCUGAGAAAAAAUAGAAAACGUAAAAAAAAAAAAGUCGGAAAUAUAAAAAAAACGUCAAUUUGCUGUAUUUUUUUUUUUUUUUUAUCAAUAUCGUGGCGUUUUGACAUUUAUUUGUACGUAAUUCCGGUUGUUGAUUUUGGCAGAGGCAACCGCACACACCGAACAAACAAACAAACAGCCCCAAACAGAAGCCUAGUCAAGCGUAUUCAAUAAUUACGUAGCAUUUCGUUGACUUAUUUUCAUUUCUUUGUACCGUUUGUCUGAUAAUUUCCUGUGUGUUUUUGUAAUGGCAUUUUGAGGAAGCUGCUCCAUGUGUACCAUUGUCAAUUUAACUAUAUCAUAAUGUGUAUAGGGUCCAAGGAGGGGAAAAUAAACUAAUAGUGAAUAUAAA
Long non-coding RNA from Portunus trituberculatus (swimming crab), 1094 nucleotides. RefSeq lists it as uncharacterized. The record is from RefSeq and is a predicted model, not a curated record. NCBI's taxonomy places the organism in Eukaryota, Metazoa, Arthropoda, Malacostraca, Decapoda, Portunidae. The transcript is spliced from 2 exons.